This 253-nucleotide ribosomal RNA is filed under the name uncultured bacterium. RNAcentral describes it as "partial 16S ribosomal RNA". It matches the Rfam family "Bacterial small subunit ribosomal RNA", at positions 524 to 776 of the family's 1533-position model. The record is from RNAcentral.
UACGUAGGGUGCGAGCGUUAAUCGGAAUUACUGGGCGUAAAGCGUGCGCAGGCGGGCUUUUAAGCCAGACGUGAAAUCCCCGGGCUUAACCUGGGAAUGGCGUUUGGGACUGGGAGUCUGGAGUGCGGCAGAGGAGACUGGAAUUCCUGGUGUAGCAGUGAAAUGCGUAGAUAUCAGGAGGAACACCGAUGGCGAAGGCAGGUCUCUGGGCUGACACUGACGCUCGUGCACGAAAGCGUGGGGAGCAAACAGG